GUUUGAUUAUGGCUCAGGAUGAACGCUAGCGGCAGGCUAACACAUGCAAGUCGAGGGGCAACGCGAGUAGCAAUACUUGGCGGCGACCGGCGCAAGGGUGCGUAACGCGUGAGCAACAUGCCCGUAUCAGGGGGAUAAUCCAGGGAAACUUGGUCUAAUACCCCAUAGUAAUUUUGUAAGGCAUCUUAUAAGAUUUAAAGCUUUGGUGGAUACGGAUUGGCUCGCGUGACAUUAGCUGGAUGGUAAGGUAACGGCUUACCAUGGCUAUGAUGUCUAGGGGUUCUGAGAGGAAGGUCCCCCACACUGGAACUGAGACACGGUCCAGACUCCUACGGGAGGCAGCAGUGAGGAAUAUUGGACAAUGGAUGGAAAUCUGAUCCAGCCAUGCCCGCGUGAAGGAUGACUGCCCUAUGGGUUGUAAACUUCUUUUAUAAGGGAAUAAAGUGAGGGACGUGUCCCUUUUUGUAUGUACCUUAUGAAUAAGGAUCGGCUAACUCCGUGCCAGCCGCCGC
This 512-nucleotide ribosomal RNA is filed under the name uncultured bacterium. RNAcentral describes it as "bacterial SSU rRNA". It matches the Rfam family "Bacterial small subunit ribosomal RNA", at positions 11 to 518 of the family's 1533-position model. The record is from RNAcentral.